This 1215-nucleotide long non-coding RNA is filed under the name Capsicum annuum. RNAcentral's name for it is "long non-coding RNA (CANN_LNC004270)". Lineage: Eukaryota; Viridiplantae; Streptophyta; Magnoliopsida; Solanales; Solanaceae. The record is from RNAcentral.
UUGCUUCUUCGGCAUACACCUUUUCUUUCAUGGCCAGCCUUAGCUGCUCCGUUGCUUCAUCUUUAAGCCUCAAAGUGUCUGAACUACGCUUCUCAUUCGCGUUCUCUGAUGACUCGUUGAAAUCUGAGGAGCCAAUGGAGAGUUGGAGGUUGUAAGUCGAGUGAUCUUCGUUCGGUUUAGAUGAUACGGAGACAUCAAAGGCCGGGCUAGUUGAUGAUGUAGUAGCAGUCAAGAGUUGUAGCUCCAAAUUGUGUUGCUUUGUACAACUUUUCAUGAUGUUGGGAUUAGCCUGAUGAGUAGCAGCCGCGGACGACAAUUUUUUUAGUAACGUACUGGACCAUGGCGUUGUGCUGAGAUUCGUGUCGCUUGAUGGGCUAGGAGUACUCGAAGCUGUGCGAGAAAGGCAAGGAGGAUGUAAAGAUUGUGAUUCAGAUCGGAGCCUGCCCAUGCUACAAGCAUCUUGAUGCUCGAUGAAACUUUCCACCCUAUAAUAAGAAAAAAUGGUCAUUUACAACAAUCUCCUUCUUUUUCAAGUGAAAACUGAAAAAAAAAAAAAAAAAAAAAAACUAAAGAGAUAAAAGAAAUACAAUUCGAAUAACUAACGCUGAGAAAGUUUGAGAUGUUCGGUUUGGUUGAUAUUCUUGGCAACUUCAUGAUGACCUUCUGUUAAACCCGAAGAGAUAUAACUCAAUGCCAAUGAGUUAUUCUCAUCUAUAAUAUUGACUCUUGGAGUUGACGAUUGGAAUUUCUGUUUGCAAGAAUGACAAGUGAUUUGCGAAAGAGUGGAGCUGAUUUGCUUGAUGGCAUGUUCUUUCAAUGCAUUAGCCUUGUCCAACUCCGCUUGUGCCUGUUGCCUAAUCCUCUUGGCAUUGGCGAACUCCUGCUCAGCCAACUCGAUCUGCCUCUUCGCUUGCUGCCUUGCUUCUUCGGCAUACACCUUUUCUUUCAUGGCCAGCCUUAGCUGCUCCGUUGCUUCAUCUUUAAGCCUCAAAGUGUCUGAACUACGCUUCUCAUUCGCGUUCUCUGAUGACUCGUUGAAAUCUGAGGAGCCAAUGGAGAGUUGGAGGUUGUAAGUCGAGUGAUCUUCGUUCGGUUUAGAUGAUACGGAGACAUCAAAGGCCGGGCUAGUUGAUGAUGUAGUAGCAGUCAAGAGUUGUAGCUCCAAAUUGUGUUGCUUUGUACAACUUUUCAUGAUGUUGGGAUUAGCCUGAUGAG